UCCUCCAAGGCUAAAUACUCCUGACUGACCGAUAGUGAACCAGUACCGUGAGGGAAAGGCGAAAAGAACCCCGGCGAGGGGAGUGAAAAAGAACCUGAAACCGUGUACGUACAAGCAGUGGGAGCCUCUUAAUGGGGUGACUGCGUACCUUUUGUAUAAUGGGUCAGCGACUUAUAUUCUGUAGCAAGGUUAACCGAAUAGGGGAGCCGAAGGGAAACCGAGUCUUAACUGGGCGUUAAGUUGCAGGGUAUAGACCCGAAACCCGGUGAUCUAGCCAUGGGCAGGUUGAAGGUUGGGUAACACUAACUGGAGGACCGAACCGACUAAUGUUGAAAAAUUAGCGGAUGACUUGUGGCUGGGGGUGAAAGGCCAAUCAAACCGGGAGAUAGCUGGUUCUCCCCGAAAGCUAUUUAGGUAGCGCCUCGUGAAUUCAUCUCCGGGGGUAGAGCACUGUUUCGGCAAGGGGGUCAUCCCGACUUACCAACCCGAUGCAAACUGCGAAUACCGGAGAAUGUUAUCACGGGAGACACACGGCGGGUGCUAACGUCCGUCGUGAAGAGGGAAACAACCCAGACCGCCAGCUAAGGUCCCAAAGUCAUGGUUAAGUGGGAAACGAUGUGGGAAGGCCCAGACAGCCAGGAUGUUGGCUUAGAAGCAGCCAUCAUUUAAAGAAAGCGUAAUAGCUCACUGGUCGAGUCGGCCUGCGCGGAAGAUGUAACGGGGCUAAACCAUGCACCGAAGCUGCGGCAGCGACACUAUGUGUUGUUGGGUAGGGGAGCGUUCUGUAAGCCUGUGAAGGUGGCCUGUGAGGGUUGCUGGAGGUAUCAGAAGUGCGAAUGCUGACAUAAGUAACGAUAAAGCGGGUGAAAAGCCCGCUCGCCGGAAGACCAAGGGUUCCUGUCCAACGUUAAUCGGGGCAGGGUGAGUCGACCCCUAAGGCGAGGCCGAAAGGCGUAGUCGAUGGGAAACAGGUUAAUAUUCCUGUACUUGGUGUUACUGCGAAGGGGGGACGGAGAAGGCUAUGUUGGCCGGGCGACGGUUGUCCCGGUUUAAGCGUGUAGGCUGGUUUUCCAGGCAAAUCCGGAAAACC
This 1090-nucleotide ribosomal RNA is filed under the name Escherichia coli. RNAcentral describes it as "partial 23S ribosomal RNA". It matches the Rfam family "Bacterial large subunit ribosomal RNA", at positions 456 to 1551 of the family's 2925-position model. The record is from RNAcentral. Lineage: Bacteria; Pseudomonadati; Pseudomonadota; Gammaproteobacteria; Enterobacterales; Enterobacteriaceae.